Molecule: ribosomal RNA, 465 nt
Filed under: Centipeda noxia
Lineage: Bacteria; Bacillati; Bacillota; Negativicutes; Selenomonadales; Selenomonadaceae
Description: bacterial SSU rRNA
Rfam family: Bacterial small subunit ribosomal RNA
Source: RNAcentral
GACGAACGCUGGCGGCGUGCUUAACACAUGCAAGUCGAACGGAGCGAAUGAAAGCUUGCUUUUAUAAGCUUAGUGGCAAACGGGUGAGUAACACGUAGACAACCUGCCGACAGGAUGGGGACAACAUUCCGAAAGGAAUGCUAAUACCGAAUGAAGUGCAGGGGAGGCAUCUCCCCUGCAUGAAAGAUGGCCUCUUUUUAUGCUAUCACCUGUUGAUGGGUCUGCGUCUGAUUAGCUGGUAGGUGAGGUAACGGCUCACCUAGGCGACGAUCAGUAGCCGGUCUGAGAGGAUGAACGGCCACAUUGGGACUGAGACACGGCCCAGACUCCUACGGGAGGCAGCAGUGGGGAAUCUUCCGCAAUGGGCGCAAGCCUGACGGAGCAACGCCGCGUGAGUGAAGAAGGUCUUCGGAUCGUAAAGCUCUGUUGAUGGGGACGAACGUGCCUAAUGCGAAUAGUUUUAGG